UUAUUGCUAGGUUUCCUUACCAGAACAAUA
This 30-nucleotide non-coding RNA is filed under the name Rattus norvegicus (Norway rat). The record is from RNAcentral. Lineage: Eukaryota; Metazoa; Chordata; Mammalia; Rodentia; Muridae.